Molecule: long non-coding RNA, 2610 nt
Filed under: Pan troglodytes (chimpanzee)
Lineage: Eukaryota; Metazoa; Chordata; Mammalia; Primates; Hominidae
Description: long non-coding RNA NONPTRT014969
Source: RNAcentral
CUACGAGCUUCCCAAAGACUCGAAACUCAGUUUAAAAAACAAUGGAAAAUUCUGCUCGUCUUGACGCUCAGCUGCAGGGUGGUUCUGGGAGCAGCUGUCCCUCGGGGAGAUGGGUGAGGCCGUAUGAAUGCCAGCGAUGGAGAGAUAGCAAACUGUGUGGUGGAGGGAGAAACUGUUAACGUGCAGGAGGGCGCCAGCCUUCCGUGGUGCAAGAAGUUUUCAACUGUCCUUGUCUUUCAAAAGACACUGUCUCAACAGAGUGUCAGCAACUUCUGAAGCCAUUUCAGGCUGUAUUUGUUAAUGACAUUUUAGAAUUCUUCCUUGGUGGGCUCUGCCCAGCUUCUGGUGGUUUAAAUAUUAGAAAUCAGACUGAUGUUGGUGCUGGGAGGAGAAGGAAUUAUGGAAAGACAACAUGAAGGGAAGUUCAGGAUUUGUGGCAAGUCUUGCCCAGGGAUUUGAGGCAAGCUGUGUAGGAUCUGGUUCAAUCGUUCUGUCUCAUACGGGGGAUAUGAUGGCUACCAUUCCUUGGAAUAUAUGCAUUUUCAGCAUUAGUACCCAGGAUUUUUUUUUCCCUUGCUCUUAGAGUGUGUUGUUAAAAGUUAGUCGUAGUGAUGGUUUUAUUUUAAAAAUUCAAGGUUUUUUUUGUAGAGAUGAGGUCUCCUUAUGAUGCCUAGGCUGGUCUUGUCCUGGGCUCAAGCAGUCUUCCCACCUCAGCCUCCCAAAGUGCUGGAACUACAGGUGUGAGCCACUGCACCCAGCUUCAUUUUUAUGUUAUUAAUUGAAGAGUAUAUUUUCCCCCACUAAAGUGGUAAUUUUCCAGACUACCUUUAAAGAAGAAUAAAACACCUUCCUCUUCCAGGCAGCUAAAUCUAAAUCUUACAUUGUCUUUUAAAGCAACUCCUUAGCCAAAGACGUGGCAACUGCGGGCGAAGUAUCUCUGGGCAGGAGAUCAAUGCAAAAAUGCAACUGGGGAGAGGGGGCUUGGGGGCCAGUUCCGGGGAGAUUGGAACUGCUGUGUUCUCAUCAGAAGUGGCCCCUGCCCACCCCCAUCCCAAUCCCUUCUCAUGUGGGAGAAGGUCUGUGAGCCCUCUCCCUACCAGGGAGGUUCUGUGGCAAUGUGGGCACAUACCCUGGGGCAGGGGCCGAGGGACUUACUCACUUCAUGAGCGCCAAUGGAGGAGCGAAGGGAAUGCCUGAUGAAAACAACAUUCUACCAGUAUGCACUGUUUUCUAACCUACAGAGUGCUUCUGUGUUCACUGCCCCAUUUGAGAAUUCUAAGUAGAAUUCUGAACAGGCUGGAGCAGAUUGCCCACCCCAAGGGACAGAUGUUGGCUGGUACUGUUGGUGUUCAUGGAAGAUUCCUUCUGACACUCCCUCCUUCUUUGUAAUUGCCCUGAACUGGAGCACUGGGCCAAUAUAAAUCAUCCAAGGAUGAACACGCUGCACACGGACGGCUCCUCUUUGUUUUUGAAGGGAUUCCAUCUCUAUUCUCUUGCCAUGUGCUUCUUCACCCCACUCCCCACCCCCGUCUUUCAUUUCUUUCUCUGGAAAAGAUACUUCAACUCACAGGACUGGGAUGUUGAAACGGACACCCAAGAGCAUCACAGAUGGGCCAGGCCUGGACCUCUCGGGACAACAUUCCUCACGACUUUUAGAAGAGAUUAGAGAUUUGGGACUGGUGGCAACUGGUAACGUUUUCAGUGUUUGGUAAACAGCCAGGGUCCGGAGCUCUGGGAACAGCCUGAUUUAGCUCUUUGUUUAAGUUUUGUGUUAGAGGCUCCCAAGAAGCUGAUGCAGGGGAAAGAAAUUAACAACCAUGGCUCAUUCACAGCCAGGCAGCCAAAUGGACAGCUCUAUAAGACUCAAGCCGACAGCGGAGAGAGUGCAACCAAACAGCCUUGGCCCAGCUUUCAGAGGAGAACGUUAUUCACCCCAACUGCUCUGCAUCUGCCUGGAUGUCUGCCAAGAUCUGUGAGCACUACAGCGUUGGUAUGCUUUGGGUGAGGCCUGUGGCUAUGGCAACGAGUUGGGAGCAACCCGGUCCCUGGGAAUGAGAACAGUGUCUAAAAUCAGGCAGGCGAGGGGUUAGGGAGGAGAGGUAAAGGUUGGACUUGCCUGAAGAUGGAGCCGUUUUAUUGUUGUGGGUAAAGCUGCUACCAUUAGGGGCUGUUUACAGAGUGGGUGCAGCUCAAGCUGGGAGCAUGUUAGACUCAACUACGAUCAACCUAUUGACUUGUUCCCAUGAGACACAGAGUAAAUUAACUGUUGCAGUACUGGUCAUGUACCACCAACCUCCUGUGAACCAGCCCUCAGUGAAACAUUUAUGUGAAAGGCCAUGGUGUUCCCAUAAGACGGUGCAUAUUCUCUCCCUUGACUAACUCUUCAGUAUGCCUCAUUCUCACGCACUGCUGUGCAGGAAAGAGUCCAACAUGCCCUAUUUGACAGUCAUGCUCUGUAUGUGGAAAAGUCUUCAGGUAGAGCACUGGGCUCAGGUUGGAAGAUGUGAGUUCUAAUCCUAGCAAGGCCAUUACCUCCCAGUGACCUCAUGUCUCGAUUUCCUCAACCACAAAACAAAGGCAUUGAUGAGCUGACCUCCAAGGCCUCUCCAG